This 981-nucleotide ribosomal RNA is filed under the name Triticum aestivum (bread wheat). RNAcentral's name for it is "partial small subunit ribosomal RNA". Lineage: Eukaryota; Viridiplantae; Streptophyta; Magnoliopsida; Poales; Poaceae. The record is from RNAcentral.
AUGGUGACAUGCUCAGACCUCCCAUUUGAUGAAACACAAUGGAUCAUCCGGAUUCGUCGAAUCCUUGAAGAGGAGAUCGAGCUAGGCGAUGAGCAGCCCGUCUCCACAUUCGAUGUCCUCAAGCCCCUGUUGUGCACUAAGCCGGAAGCGUAUGUGCCUCAGCUGGUGGCCUUGGGCCCUUACCACCAUUGUCGUGAAGACUGUGACAUGGAGAUGUACAAGCUCUCUGCAGCCAAGAGAGCCCAAAGCCACCUGCCAAGUAAGAACUUGCAACAACUUGUGGACGUCUUUGCCACAUUCGAGCACCGGAUUCGUUCUCACUAUCACAGGCAACUCAAUCUCACCAACGAGACACUGGCAUGGAUGAUGGCGAUCGACGUGUCAUUUCUUCUCGAGUUCCUGCAGACUUUCUGCGAGACCAAAAACCGGAGGACAACACAAAGGAUGCCCUCGAGGAUGUCGCAUCUGGUUGACCCAUCUCAUAGAACAUCUGUACACAGCAUGCUGCUACGUGACAUCGUGAUGCUGGAGAACCAGAUUCCAAUGUUUCUUGUCGUAAAAGUAGUCGAGAUGUGGUGCUCGUCAGGCCAUGGCGUGCCACGGCCUAAUCUGAGCUCCAUUUUGUCAGGGUUCUUUCAGGAGGUCUGCUUGCUCAAGGGGAUAAGCUCUCCAUGCACCGACGCCACACGACACGCCCACUUGCUAGAUUUCCUAUACUCUAACAUGUUGCCAUGUGGUUGUGUGGAAGAGUCGGAUGGUGCAACGGAAGAAGCCGGAGAUGGGUUGUGUGACCACCCGCAGAGAUCGACUAUGAGUUCAAUAACGGAAUUGCUCGUGAAGCGUGGCUUGAAGUUGGCGUCGUUGGUGACAGAUUUCAUGGUGAGGAUGUUUCUAAAGUUCCUAGCCGCUCUUCCAUGCCUGUCAAUGGUCAGGCAACCCAUCGAGCAGCUAGCUACUCAACGAGGCGCCCCCGAUGUUUAG